This 156-nucleotide small nuclear RNA is filed under the name Sus scrofa (pig). RNAcentral's name for it is "U2 spliceosomal RNA (ENSSSCG00065038989.1, ENSSSCG00105034977.1, ENSSSCG00115020578.1, ENSSSCG00160046456.1)". It matches the Rfam family "U2 spliceosomal RNA". Rfam says of the family: U2 is a small nuclear RNA (snRNA) component of the spliceosome (involved in pre-mRNA splicing). Complementary binding between U2 snRNA (in an area lying towards the 5' end but 3' to hairpin I) and the branchpoint sequence (BPS) of the intron results the bulging out of an unpaired adenosine, on the BPS, which initiates a nucleophilic attack at the intronic 5' splice site, thus starting the first of two transesterification reactions that mediate splicing. Lineage: Eukaryota; Metazoa; Chordata; Mammalia; Artiodactyla; Suidae. The record is from RNAcentral.
AUCGCUUCUCGGCCUUUUGGCUAAGAUCAAGUGUAGCAUCUGUUCUUAUCAGUUUUUUUUUUUUUUUUUUUUUGUCUUUUCUAGGGUCACACCCAUGGCAUAUGGAGGUUCCCAGGCUAGGGGUCCAAUCGGAGCUGUAGCAGCCGGCCUACACCA